GAUGAUGUCGCAGCGGUAGUUAUCGGUUAUCAAGAGGGGUCUGAAAGUCUGAAAAGCAACGUCGUGUAAGUCCGCUGAAAGUCAAGCGAUGUUGGGGGAACAUAUCGCCUCCAUCUUCAGGGUUGAAUAUGCCGAGAAACAUACGAGCGUGAUGGCAGGUUACAGCGAAAACAUCGGCUGAAUUUCAAAGGACUGCACAGCGUUAUGUACUAGAAGAUACACCAGAAGAGGUACUGUCCAGCAUCAAGAUUGAGCCUGAUGACAGUGAACUGGAGUUACAGAUAGCCCUCAAGAAAGCACGGAGACUGAAGCUGCAGGAGGCUGUUACAGAAUCAAAGAACAGUAUAGAAAAGGUGGCAGAGUCAGUACUGGAGAGAAACUCAGAAGGAAACACAGAAGGUGGUUCCAUUGUGCUUAAUGCUACAGCAGAAUUCUGCUGAUUGUUGGGUGACAUCGUCACCUAUGGUCUGGCUGGCAACAGGGAUGAGGACGCUCAGGAACUUCUUGUGAUCUGCAGAUAAAUAGAUGAUGAAAAGUUUGGGCAUUGCGAGUGCUACAGUGGUCCGACCUCAGAUUUCAGAGAGGAGGAGGAGGGCUAUAAACCAGAUGUUAAAUUCGACUACACAGAUGAUGAUGGACAUCUGCUUAAUGCAAAGGAGACUUUCAGGUACCUGUCUCAUAAAUUUCAUGGAAAGGGACCUGGCAGAAAUAAAGCAGAGAAGCGAAUGAAGAAGAAUGAACAGGAAGGAGUGAGUAUCGGUCCAGACCUGGUCAUGAGCUGUUAUUUUUGAUGAGCUCAAGAGACACCCCACUUGGAACGCUUAGUGUCUUGCAGCAGCAACAGAAAGAAACAGUCUCUAUUCUUGGUCCUUACUGACAGUAAACAAAUAUGAGGCAACCAUCUUGAAAACAAAACUGCAAAUUCUUCGUGAAAUACGCUGGCACCAACUCUGAACUUUAGUGUGGACUUAUGUGUUUAUUGUUUGUUACUGUCUGGAAUAACAUCUCUAUUUUUAAGUAAGACACAGCUUGCAGCUGCUGAUAGUGCCUGUGUGUACUGGAAGGAAGGCCACAGAGUUCAUGUCACAUUCAAAUGAGUACAGAGGAUCUCCUGUGCCCACUGUUGGCACCUGUAAGCUGAGAAGUACAAUUUCUAGUCAGCAGUUGCUUGCUUAUAGGACCUGAGCCAGAUGAACUGCCUCUGCACUAAAUCAAACAUGAAGUAAUUAUAUAUUUGGCCUUUCUUGAUUGCAAUAGCAAUAUUUGUACACUCUCCAUCCCUGCUGCAUUCAACUCUGAAAAUUGCAACAAGCAACAGAAUCAGAAGAUGUACAGUCUAAUGCAAAUCAUUGUAAAGCACUACAGCUAUAUUACUGAAACAUUUGUAAUGGGUUAUAAAAGUAACUGUCACACUCGUAAUUGUAUAUAAGAUUUUUAACCACCGUCCGAUGUAAUUGAUAAAAGUUGUUUUAUAAUUUUUUAUCAUUUACAUGUUUUGGUUAAAACAGCCAUCUUAAGAAGGAUAUUAUUAAGACAUAUGGAAGCUACUAUUACCAUGUCAUAGAUAUAAAUGUUAUAUCUUUUAACUAAUACUAAGCGGCCUCCGUAGUCUAGAGG
Cryptotermes secundus is the source of this 1617-nucleotide long non-coding RNA. RefSeq lists it as uncharacterized. The transcript has 7 exons. Lineage: Eukaryota; Metazoa; Arthropoda; Insecta; Blattodea; Kalotermitidae. The record is from RefSeq and is a predicted model, not a curated record.